AUCGCUUCUCAGCCUUUUGGCUAAGAUCGAAUGUAGUAUCUGUUCUGGUCAGCUUAAAAAAGAGAUGAGUUUGGCUUUUUUCCUGAUAAUAGUGGAAACUGAAUACUAGUAGAAUGCUCUAUUUCUACUUUGGGUGUAUAUUCUGUGCACACGUGAAUAUAUGCAGAAACAAAU
RNAcentral lists this small nuclear RNA (174 nucleotides) under Suricata suricatta (meerkat). RNAcentral describes it as "U2 spliceosomal RNA (ENSSSUG00005021633.1)". It matches the Rfam family "U2 spliceosomal RNA". Rfam says of the family: U2 is a small nuclear RNA (snRNA) component of the spliceosome (involved in pre-mRNA splicing). Complementary binding between U2 snRNA (in an area lying towards the 5' end but 3' to hairpin I) and the branchpoint sequence (BPS) of the intron results the bulging out of an unpaired adenosine, on the BPS, which initiates a nucleophilic attack at the intronic 5' splice site, thus starting the first of two transesterification reactions that mediate splicing. The record is from RNAcentral. Lineage: Eukaryota; Metazoa; Chordata; Mammalia; Carnivora; Herpestidae.